GAACGAACGCUGGCGGCGUGCCUAACACAUGCAAGUCGAACGAGAAAGCCCUUCGGGGCCUAGUAAGUGGCGCACGGGUGAGUAACACGUGGGUAAUCUACCCUCGGGUCUGGGAUAACACUCCGAAAGGAAUGCUAAUACCGGAUAAGACCACGUCCUCUUCGGAGGAUGAGGUAAAAGGUGGCCUCUCCAUGGAAGCUAUCACCUGAGGAUGAGCCCGCGGCCCAUCAGCUUGUUGGUGAGGUAACGGCCCACCAAGGCUAAGACGGGUAGCUGGUCUGAGAGGAUGGUCAGCCACACUGGAACUGAGACACGGUCCAGACUCCUACGGGAGGCAGCAGUGGGGAAUAUUGCGCAAUGGGCGAAAGCCUGACGCAGCGACGCCGCGUGAGUGAUGAAGGCCUUCGGGUCGUAAAGCUCUGUCGGAUGGGAAAGAAGAAAUUCGGAGAAUAACACCUCCGGAUUUUGACGGUACUCGUCCAGGAAGCACUGGCUAACUCCGUGCCAGCAGCGGC
This 515-nucleotide ribosomal RNA is filed under the name uncultured bacterium. RNAcentral's name for it is "bacterial SSU rRNA". It matches the Rfam family "Bacterial small subunit ribosomal RNA", at positions 27 to 518 of the family's 1533-position model. The record is from RNAcentral.